GCCCGGGUGGCGUAAUUGGUAGCCGCUGGGGACUUAAAAUCCCCUGGCCGCAAGGCCGUGCCGGUUCGACUCCGGCCCUGGGCACCA
Molecule: transfer RNA, 87 nt
Filed under: compost metagenome
Description: tRNA-Leu
Rfam family: tRNA
About the family: Transfer RNA (tRNA) molecules are approximately 80 nucleotides in length. Their secondary structure includes four short double-helical elements and three loops (D, anti-codon, and T loops).
Source: RNAcentral